This is a non-coding RNA of Pteropus alecto (black flying fox), 141 nucleotides long. Lineage: Eukaryota; Metazoa; Chordata; Mammalia; Chiroptera; Pteropodidae. The record is from Rfam.
AGCUUUGUGCAGUGGCAGUAUCGUGCCCAAUGAGGUUUAUUAGAGGCGUGAUUAUUGCUAAUUGAAACAACGAAGUAUAAAAGACUUAAAAACAAGUUCCUUGGCUAUUAAUCUACAUAAAAUCUGCAUGUAUUCAAAAUA